This 468-nucleotide ribosomal RNA is filed under the name uncultured bacterium. RNAcentral describes it as "partial 16S ribosomal RNA". It matches the Rfam family "Bacterial small subunit ribosomal RNA", at positions 28 to 507 of the family's 1533-position model. The record is from RNAcentral.
GACGAACGCUGGCGGCGUGCUUAACACAUGCAAGUCGAACGGAAAGGCCCUGCUUUUGUGGGGUGCUCGAGUGGCGAACGGGUGAGUAACACGUGAGUAACCUGCCCUUGACUUUGGGAUAACUUCAGGAAACUGGGGCUAAUACCGGAUAGGAGCUCCUGCUGCAUGGUGGGGGUUGGAAAGUUUCGGCGGCUGGGGAUGGACUCGCGGCUUAUCAGCUUGUUGGUGGGGUAGUGGCUUACCAAGGCUUUGACGGGUAGCCGGCCUGAGAGGGUGACCGGCCACAUUGGGACUGAGAUACGGCCCAGACUCCUACGGGAGGCAGCAGUGGGGGAUAUUGCACAAUGGGCGGAAGCCUGAUGCAGCAACGCCGCGUGCGGGAUGACGGCCUUCGGGUUGUAAACCGCUUUCGCCUGUGACGAAGCGUGAGUGACGGUAAUGGGUAAAGAAGCACCGGCUAACUACGUG